GUGGGGAAUAUUGGACAAUGGGGGGAACCCUGAUCCAGCCAUGCCGCGUGUGUGAAGAAGGCCUUUUGGUUGUAAAGCACUUUAAGCGAGGAGGAGGCUACCGAGAUUAAUACUCUUGGAUAGUGGACGUUACUCGCAGAAUAAGCACCGGCUAACUCUGUGCCAGCAGCCGCGGUAAUACAGAGGGUGCAAGCGUUAAUCGGAUUUACUGGGCGUAAAGCGCGCGUAGGUGGCCAAUUAAGUCAAAUGUGAAAUCCCCGAGCUUAACUUGGGAAUUGCAUUCGGUACUGGUUGGCUAGAGUAUGGGAGGGGAUGGUAGAAUUCCAGGUGUAGCGGUGAAAUGCGUAGAGAUCUGGAGGAAUACCGAUGGCGAAGGCAGCCAUCUGACCUAAUACUGACACUGAGGUGCGAAAGCAUGGGGAGCAAACAGGAUUAGAAACCCGUGUAGUCC
RNAcentral lists this ribosomal RNA (451 nucleotides) under uncultured bacterium. RNAcentral's name for it is "bacterial SSU rRNA". It matches the Rfam family "Bacterial small subunit ribosomal RNA", at positions 354 to 796 of the family's 1533-position model. The record is from RNAcentral.